This 288-nucleotide ribosomal RNA is filed under the name Diclidophlebia xuani. RNAcentral describes it as "partial large subunit ribosomal RNA". The stretch from base 103 to 269 matches the Rfam family "Bacterial large subunit ribosomal RNA", at positions 2090 to 2635 of the family's 2925-position model. The record is from RNAcentral. Lineage: Eukaryota; Metazoa; Arthropoda; Insecta; Hemiptera; Liviidae.
UAUAUUGUUUUUUUAUUGGGGUGGUGCAAAAUUAACUUUUAUGAAAAUUUUUCAUUUUUUAUGAUUUUUUGAUCUUAAAUUUUAGAUAUUAAGAUAAAAUUACCUUAGGGAUAACAGCAUAAUUUUUUUAAAAAGAUCUUAUUAAUAAAAAAGAUUAUGACCUCGAUGUUGAAUUAAGAUAAUACUUAGGUGCAAAAUUUUAAGUAUUUAGUCUGUUCGACUUUAAAUUUUACAUGAUUUGAGUUCAAACCGGUGUGAGCCAGGUUGGUUUCUAUCUUUUAAUAAUAU